Molecule: long non-coding RNA, 2110 nt
Filed under: Podarcis lilfordi (Lilford's wall lizard)
Lineage: Eukaryota; Metazoa; Chordata; Lepidosauria; Squamata; Lacertidae
Source: RNAcentral
UGUCAGAUGCACAUUUCAGUGUGGAUCUCUGUUCCUUGGGAGAGGGAUAGGCAGCAAUCUCCCAUUCUGGGAGAGACAGAGUAGCUGGCAGAUGCACAUUGAUUAAAAAUGGGAAGGAGAAUGUGUAAAAAAUAAAAUAUAUAUCUAUAUCUAUAUACCCAAACUAAUUUGCCUAAAUUAUUAAAUUAGAGCCCUAGGGAACUGCAUUUUCAUAAUCUGUUUACUAAAUGGCAGUAAUCAUCAAAAUAUUGUACAGAAAGGAUAUUAAAGGAAAGGUUAAUGAAUACAGCAUCUGGAGGAUUCAACCAUAAUGGGCUUACAUUGUCUCCUAUUGUGCCCAGGCUUUCUGAUAUAUGCUUGGGAAAGGGGGGGGCAGUGUUUAUUUUGUGAUGUUUUACUUUGUUGAAGCAAGCUUUGGAGUUGCAUUGAUUUUAAAGUUUUAAAAGAUACAUUGUGUGCCCAAAUAAGACAUAUAUACUGAUCUCUAAAUAGGAAGUAGAAAUUUGGGCAUUUUGUAGUCAAAUAGGAAUGCAAGAUAAUGCUUUGAUUAUGAUAAUUUAUACAGAGGAGCUAAAUAUGUUAUAAUACUGGCAAUCAGACAAAAAUGUGAUUUUAAAGCCAAUUAUAAAUGAUUUGUAUUUCUCUUUUAAAACUCUCAAAAAUGCAAUCUUCAACUACAUUUGACAUAAUCAUUGCAAUACUUUAAAAAGUUAUUAAGCUACAAAAACACACACACACUUAAAUAUUUUCCUUCUCUUGCCAAGGUCUACCCCAUUACAUUUAUCUGAAUGGAAUAAAGCCUGUGUUGAAUAAAACAUACAACACUCCAAUCUAUUUUUGAAUUCAGAGUUUCUUUUUCAAAAGCUUACAACUAUCCUUAUUCUCUGGGAAGAAAAACCUUGAGCUGAACACAGCAAAGGUGGAAAAUAUUAUAGGAGUUUGGGAAUUAACUUGAUAAACUACUCUGCCUUUGCCUUGUGGUCCUUUCACAAAGUUGUAAAGACUUGGGAGAUUAAAUUCUGGGGACUUAAUAAACAGCAGCUCUGUGUGGAGAUCCAGACACUGGCCUAUUAGUCAAAAUGUACUUUAGGCCAAAGUGAAAACCUCUGCUCAUUUAUUUCUGCCUCAAAACAUAGGAGUUCAGAUGGAAAUGUAUAGAGGGGGUGGGGAAGAUCCAUUGUCAUGCAAAGUGACACAAGACUGAAUUACAGAUCAGAAAGAUGAAUUUGGACAAUGGGAAUGCCAACUUUGGUUUUUUUCAUGAUUAAUGGUAAAGGUAAGGCCCAAUAAUUGCUAAGGAGAUAUGAGUCGUGAAUAAAAGAAUUAUUUAUGAAGUAAAAUCUGCUUAGGCAUAUAACAUGUAUAAAUUAUAUUCCUCUGAAAAUUUAAUGCGAUAAAUAGCCAAGAUCAAGCAGAGAGGCACUCUGUGAUAGAAAUCUGACUGUGUGGUUUAGGUCACUCAGCAACACCUUCUAAAUUCCUAACCCUAACCCUUUAUGAAAGGAGGUUUAACAUCUCCUGUUCGUAAGACUUCUAUACAAGGCAACGUGUUUUCUCCUUUGAGUAGCUACUCUUCCCUAAGGUUGGGUGAGUAUUCAGGUCACUCCACAAUUAGGAGCGAAUCCCCCCCCCCAUCUAAUGGAUCAUGCUUGGAUCAGGACAGAGAUAUAUGGAUUAUAUCACAUGACUAUGAACCUUCCCAAGCAUGAUUUGCUACUACUUACAGAUACUUACAUUCUAUCCUGUAUUCAUCAUAUGCAAUGUUGUUUCCAUUCCCCUGCAGAUCAACUCCCACCAAAAACUACAUUAUAUCCUGGUUCCCACUAAAGGAAGAACUGGAACUGAAUGGAAGAUUCUUCCCAAAUGCUUUUAUGCUCAAGUCACUGCAAUACAUAUGCAAAAACACAGUUCAAAAGCUCAGCAGGCAAUACACAUCUCUACUCAAGGCAUGGAUAAACAAAGGCACAGCAGGUGAUAUGACUACUCAAAGCAAGGACACAUCUCCUGCAAUCCCGUUAUAAAGGAAUGGGGCAGGCACAGCUUAACACGGCAAAUGUUUCUGUUCCUUAGCAAGCAAUCCGGUACUCCACAUUGUAGGCUGGACCUGAAC